RNA transcript from Strigops habroptila (Kakapo), 2775 nucleotides. It is a transcript of the gene named polypeptide N-acetylgalactosaminyltransferase 18, with no coding region annotated. The record is from RefSeq and is a predicted model, not a curated record. NCBI's taxonomy places the organism in Eukaryota, Metazoa, Chordata, Aves, Psittaciformes, Psittacidae. The transcript is spliced from 13 exons.
UGCCUGCUCCCGAGUCUGACUGCGGAGCGCUGCCCGGCCGCGAUGGGCAGCGGUGGCGGCGGCGUGGGGAGCAAAGUUUGCGGUACUCGGACUCCGCGCUGCCCGCGGCCCUGAUGCCCGCGGCGGGAGGCGGCGCCUGAAGGCAGCGGGGCGCCGUGCUGCGCUGCUGCCGGCGCGGCUCUUGCAAAGUUUCAGCUAUUUUAAUGUCCUAAAGCCCAGGAUUCUAAUUAUCAGCCCUCCCUACCCCCAUCUCUCCUUCUAGGUAGGCGACAAAUAUUUUUAUUCUGUGGAUUAGAGAACUUUUUGCAUGGAAAUUUACUGACUUCCGAGUGGUCUCCGUUUCGGGGAAAGGAUUUAUUUUCAUCGCAGUUUAUUUUUGUUUUCUGGAUCACAGGAUUUUGGAGCUAUAUGGAGGGAUCUCAGGAUGGUGUGCACCAGGAAAACCAAAACUUUAGUGUCCACUUGCGUGAUUUUGAGUGGAAUGACUAACAUCGUCUGCCUGCUGUACGUGGGCUGGGUCACCAACUACAUUGCCAGUGUUUAUGUGAAAGUGCAGGAGCCGAUCUCAGAAAAAAAGUUAGAGGAAGACAAAGGGGACACUUUAAGGAUUAUAGAAAGGCUGGACCAUUUGGAAAAUGUCAUCAAGCAGCACAUCCAAGAAGCUCCACCAAAACUGGAAGAAAAUCCUGCUGAGGCAUUCACUGACUCGUCUCUCUUUGCUCACUGGGGCCAGGAUCUCAGUCCUGAAAACAGACGGAUCGCACUGAAACAAUUCCAGUAUUAUGGCUACAACGCUUACCUGAGUGAUCGCUUGCCACUGGACAGGCCCUUGCCUGACCUUAGGCCUAACGGGUGCAGAAACCUUACAUUUCCUGAGAGGCUUCCCGAGGUCAGCAUUGUAUUCAUCUUUGUUAAUGAAGCUCUCUCAGUGAUUCUGCGCUCCAUCCAUUCAGCCAUUGACCGGACUCCUGCUCACCUGCUCAAAGAAAUCAUUUUAGUUGAUGAUAACAGUAAUAAUGAAGAACUCAAGGAGAAACUAAAGAAGUAUGUUGAUGAAGUGAAUGCCCGUAAGCCUGGUUUCAUCAAGGUUGUUCGACACAGCAAACAAGAGGGACUGAUUCGAUCUCGAGUUAGUGGAUGGAGAGUAGCCACAGCACCAGUAGUUGCUCUCUUUGAUGCCCAUGUGGAAUUCAAUGUGGGAUGGGCUGAACCAGUGCUCACCAGGAUAAAAGAAAACAGAAAAAGAGUAAUUUCUCCAUCAUUUGAUAACAUUAAGUAUGAUAAUUUUGAAAUAGAGGAGUAUCCCCUCUCAGCACAGGGGUUUGACUGGGAGCUGUGGUGCCGAUACCUGAACCCUCCUAAGUCAUGGUGGAAACUGGAAAACACAACUGCUCCAAUAAGAAGUCCUGCAUUGAUUGGAUGCUUCAUAGUAGAUAGAGAAUAUUUCCAAGAAAUUGGCUUACUGGAUGAAGGCAUGGAAGUAUAUGGAGGAGAGAAUGUAGAGCUCGGGAUCAGGGUAUGGCAAUGUGGAGGAAGUGUUGAGGUUCUGCCUUGCUCCAGGAUUGCCCACAUUGAAAGAGCACAUAAACCAUACACAGAAGAUCUAACUGCUCAUGUCCGGAGAAAUGCACUAAGGGUGGCUGAAGUCUGGAUGGAUGAAUUUAAGAGCCAUGUCUAUAUGGCAUGGAACAUACCCCAGGAGGACUCCGGAAUUGAUAUUGGUGAUAUUUCUGAGAGGAAGGCCUUGAGGAAAAAACUCCAGUGCAAGACCUUUAGGUGGUAUCUUGUCAGUGUGUACCCAGAAAUGAGAAUGUAUUCAGAUACUGUCGCCUAUGGGGUGCUGCAGAAUUCCCUGAAAAGUGAUUUGUGCCUUGAUCAAGGGCCGGACACAGAGAAUAUCCCAAUCAUGUAUAUCUGCCAUGGAAUGACACCACAGAAUGUUUAUUACACAAGCAAUCAGCAGCUCCAUGUGGGUGUUCUGAGUCCCACUAUCGACGAUGAUGACAACAGAUGCCUGGUGGAUGUGAACAGCAGGCCCAGGCUCAUUGAAUGCAAUUAUGCCAAAGCCAAGAGAAUGAAGCUUUACUGGCAGUUUACUCAGGUGAAAACAAAACUCUGUCCUGAUCAAGUCAGUACAAGUUGCAUCUUUAAUUCCAGUGGAAACAAGAACAACAUACAUCUCGAAGCAAGCCUAGAUCAAAGCAGAUAAAUCAAGCCUGACUUGUUUGCAGAAGUCAUUUAUAUGUAAUGUCAGAAAGAAAGAGGAAAAGGGAGGUCCAAUCCAGAACAGAAAAUCCAAGCGUUGCCUGGAAUUGCAGGAAAACAAUGAAAAUGAAUUUGGAUUUCAACUCGUCCUUCAGAAAUGCACUGGACAACGCUGGUCUAUAACAAAUGUCCUGAAAAGCUUGUCAUCAUAGCAGACUAAAUUUUUUACCCAUUUCUUUUGCUACUGUGUAGCAAAUACUGCAUUGUUGCCUGCUGUACUGUAGUCCUCUUGCCCCUCUACACCCACCCACCCCACCACCCCCGACCCUGGUUUCUCUUCUCCUCUCUUUUUUCCCUUUGAUUUUAUUUUGUGAGUGUGUGGAAAUUGGGUUUGUGGGCUGAAAAUAAGACGUUUUUUAUUUCACACUGAUGUUUUCAUGGCAUUUAUAGAGACAUUGAAUGACAGGUGAUGGGUAGGCUAUCCUAAAAUAUUUUACAACUGUAAAUAGGAAACAAAUGGAAAAUAUUUAUAACUCAAACUUUUAUUGAAUAAAAAAGUCCAAACACUGU